GGAGGAGUCACAGACGACCCUGAGGUUUCUCCAUUUGUGGCUUGUUGGAUGGUGGUGCAAACAAGGACACAGGAGCAAAAGCAACUUUGAAACUCUAGUAAAGGCUGUGGCUUAGGCUUUCCAGUUAUUCCUGCUUCUGCCUCCUGAUCGAGACCUGACCCCUCCGCUGUGGCCCUGAGUGGCGUGGUGUGUCCCCUUCUCCCAGGAAGGACAUGGCUUCCCAGCACCUCCUGAAAGUUUUCAAGGUGAAGUGCCCUAGUUUUAUUUAAGCACCACCUGGCAGCCGCUGAAGUGUCACGUUUCCAUUUCACGAGAGCCAGCCACAAAUCUGAUUGCUCCUGCUCCACAUGAUUAGCACGUUUUGGGUGACAUUCUUAGGUUGGUCACACUUCUGAGCAUGUUGUGAUUCUUUAAUAGUUUUUCUGAAGGGCGCCAGGCAUCCA
This is a long non-coding RNA of Cervus elaphus (red deer), 443 nucleotides long. RefSeq lists it as uncharacterized. The record is from RefSeq and is a predicted model, not a curated record. Lineage: Eukaryota; Metazoa; Chordata; Mammalia; Artiodactyla; Cervidae. The transcript has 3 exons.